RNAcentral lists this ribosomal RNA (375 nucleotides) under uncultured bacterium. Its description in RNAcentral is "bacterial SSU rRNA". It matches the Rfam family "Bacterial small subunit ribosomal RNA", at positions 524 to 898 of the family's 1533-position model. The record is from RNAcentral.
GACGAACCGUCCUAACGUUGUUCGGAAUCACUGGGCUUAAAGGGCGCGUAGGCGGCGGCACAAGUCCGGGGUGAAAUCUUUCGGCUUAACCGGAAAAGGGCUUCGGAUACUGUGUCGCUUGAGGGAGGUAGGGGCACGUGGAACUUCUGGUGGAGCGGUGAAAUGCGUUGAUAUCAGAAGGAACGCCGGUGGCGAAAGCGACGUGCUGGCCCUCUUCUGACGCUGAGGCGCGAAAGCCAGGGGAGCGAACGGGAUUAGAUACCCCGGUAGUCCUGGCCCUAAACGAUGGGUACUAGGUAGUGGGCUUGACAUGGGCUCACUGCCGAAGCAAAAGUGUUAAGUACCCCGCCUGGGGAGUAUGGUCGCAAGGCUGAA